GCAGGCGGACUCUCAACCACUGCGUCACCAGGGAAGCCCACUUAGCCUAUUAUUAAAAAGAAAAAAGAAUUAAGAGAAAGAGAGGAAAAAGGAGUGAAUGAAAAUUCUCCUUAAACCCUUUUCUACUUCAGAAAGCGUGCUCCUCUGCACCAAGGACAGGAGAUGUCUCAGCCCCGCAGCCCUCCGCUCUUACAAAGAAAGGAAAGGGGGAUUGUCUCCAGAUUGGCCCAGUUGUAUGCUGUUAGCCUGGGACGAAACAUUCUGUCAAAGCAUCAAAGUUCUUUAAGAUCUUUCCAGAGAUGAGAAUGGAUUUGUCCUUCCUAAGUUACUGUGUCCCCUUUGCCGGAACACAUGAGCAGAGGCACAGGGGGAAUCUAACUGCCACCCCAGCACACCUGACAAAAGGUGAGGCCUUUGGUGGGUGAUGAGGGCAGAGCCCUCAUGGGAUUAGUGUCCUUAUAUUGGGUUGGCGAGAAAGUGCGUUCGGAUCUUCCGUAACAUCUUAUGGAAAAACCCGAACGAGCUUUUUGGCCAGCCCAAUAAAAGCGGCCCCAGCAGGAUCCCUCAGCCCCUUACACCUUGUGAGGCUAGAAGGAGAAGUCUGCAACCUGGGUGAGGCCCUCAUCCCACCGUGCUGGCACCUCAGUCAGAUCACCAGCCUCCAGAACUGUCCGAAAUAAAUUUCUGUUGAUUGUAAGCCACCCGGUUCAUGAUAUUUUUGUUAUAACAGCCUGAGACAGUCAGAAAGUCACCUUCCAGACACACUGGGUUUUUCCUUCAGUCUUUGAGUCUGCAAACCUUGAAUGGGGAAAGUCCCCUUCCCUUCUCUCUGUCCAGGUAGCCACAAAGUGGGUGUUCCCUGAAAACUCUUUCCUGUUGGGGGGAAAAGUGCAACUAGAGGGAAAAAUAGAGGGAAAACGAGAGACAAGUAG
This is a long non-coding RNA of Aethalodelphis obliquidens (Pacific white-sided dolphin), 932 nucleotides long. RefSeq lists it as uncharacterized. The transcript has 2 exons. The record is from RefSeq and is a predicted model, not a curated record. NCBI's taxonomy places the organism in Eukaryota, Metazoa, Chordata, Mammalia, Artiodactyla, Delphinidae.